RNAcentral lists this unclassified non-coding RNA (303 nucleotides) under plant metagenome. RNAcentral's name for it is "partial contains 5.8S ribosomal RNA, internal transcribed spacer 2, and large subunit ribosomal RNA". The stretch from base 1 to 103 matches the Rfam family "5.8S ribosomal RNA", at positions 52 to 154 of the family's 154-position model. The record is from RNAcentral.
AAUGCGAUAAGUAAUGUGAAUUGCAGAAUUCAGUGAAUCAUCGAAUCUUUGUACGCACAUUGCGCCCGCCAGUAUUCUGGCGGGCAUGCCUGUUCGAGCGUCAUUUCAACCAUCAAGCCCCCGGCUUGUGUUGGGGACCUGCGGCUGCCCGCAGGCCCUGAAAAACAGUGGCGGGCUCGCUGUCACACCGAGCGUAGUAGCAUACAUUCUCGCUCAGGGCGUGCUGCGGGUUCCGGCCGUUAAACGACCUUCAUAACCCAAGGUUGACCUCGGAUCAGGUAGGAAGACCCGCUGAACUUAAGC